RNAcentral lists this transfer RNA (73 nucleotides) under Camelus bactrianus (Bactrian camel). It matches the Rfam family "tRNA". Rfam says of the family: Transfer RNA (tRNA) molecules are approximately 80 nucleotides in length. Their secondary structure includes four short double-helical elements and three loops (D, anti-codon, and T loops). Further hydrogen bonds mediate the characteristic L-shaped molecular structure. tRNAs have two regions of fundamental functional importance: the anti-codon, which is responsible for specific mRNA codon recognition, and the 3' end, to which the tRNAs corresponding amino acid is attached (by aminoacyl-tRNA synthetases). tRNAs cope with the degeneracy of the genetic code in two manners: having more than one tRNA (with a specific anti-codon) for a particular amino acid; and 'wobble' base-pairing, i.e. permitting non-standard base-pairing at the 3rd anti-codon position. RNAcentral also lists the same sequence under 2 other names. Lineage: Eukaryota; Metazoa; Chordata; Mammalia; Artiodactyla; Camelidae. The record is from Rfam by way of RNAcentral.
GAAGGUAUAGCUCAAGUGGUAGAACACAUGCUUAGCAUGCAUGAGGUCCUGGGUUCAAUCCCCAGUAACUCCU